GGCCGUGCCUUCCUCCCGGCGAGGGCUCAGCCUGGUUGCUUACCUGGGGAAGGAGGCGGACCCCAAAGGCCUGUAGAAGUGUCUGGGACCAGGGUCAGGCUGCUCCUAGGAAGGAAUGGAUGAAUAAAAAGAAUUGAGUAGUCUUGUUAUCACUGUAUUCUGCCCUCCCUGGUACUUUCACGUGAACCAGACUUCCUUAAUCAGAGUAGAAAAUCUGCAACCAACUUGAUGAAAACUAGCAUUUAUGAUACCCUGUCAUCUGGCUGGCAAGCCAGGUAGUAGCACAUGUUUAUACAGCUGCUUAUGGUUACACCUAGUUUACCAGACUAUGGAUUAGGGAUGCUUAAACACAGCUGAUUUGGAUCAUGCCCUGAUCAGGCAGCCAGUUUUUCUGUGAUGCGUUUGACACCUCAUUCACAGCUGUUCAAAGGGUUGCUGCACUCCAUCCCAGAACUGGACAGUAUAGCAUGAUUGAAGUUCAAGCAUGUGUGCUGUCACACAGCAUGACGGAGCUCUCUUCCUACCCAAGUCAUUGCUGCAGACUGCUUUGCUUCACAGGCAAAAACAGAGGAUUAAACCAACAUAUAAACUGCUGGCAAAAUUCAGCAGUGAAAAACACCCCAAAAAGAGAAAAGAACAUUGAAAAAGGAAGCACAUCUUGCCCAACUGUUGUGGGCAAGAACCCUGCUGUGCAGUCCCUGUAAUGGACAAACUGUUCCACAAAAUUGUAAGCAUUCCUACUAUGGAGCUCCAUGAGGAAACAUGAGAUGCCUGCAGGAUGCCCAUGAC
Molecule: long non-coding RNA, 789 nt
Organism: Gekko japonicus
Lineage: Eukaryota; Metazoa; Chordata; Lepidosauria; Squamata; Gekkonidae
Exons: 3
Source: RefSeq, a predicted model, not a curated record